Molecule: transfer RNA, 73 nt
Filed under: Camelus bactrianus (Bactrian camel)
Lineage: Eukaryota; Metazoa; Chordata; Mammalia; Artiodactyla; Camelidae
Also listed under: 1 other name
Rfam family: tRNA
About the family: Transfer RNA (tRNA) molecules are approximately 80 nucleotides in length. Their secondary structure includes four short double-helical elements and three loops (D, anti-codon, and T loops). Further hydrogen bonds mediate the characteristic L-shaped molecular structure. tRNAs have two regions of fundamental functional importance: the anti-codon, which is responsible for specific mRNA codon recognition, and the 3' end, to which the tRNAs corresponding amino acid is attached (by aminoacyl-tRNA synthetases). tRNAs cope with the degeneracy of the genetic code in two manners: having more than one tRNA (with a specific anti-codon) for a particular amino acid; and 'wobble' base-pairing, i.e. permitting non-standard base-pairing at the 3rd anti-codon position.
Source: Rfam by way of RNAcentral
GAGGGUAUAGCUCAAGUGGUAGAGCACGUGCUUAGCAUGCAUGGGGCCCUGGGUUCAAUCCCCAGGACCUCCU